This 420-nucleotide ribosomal RNA is filed under the name bacterium. RNAcentral describes it as "partial 16S ribosomal RNA". It matches the Rfam family "Bacterial small subunit ribosomal RNA", at positions 355 to 776 of the family's 1533-position model. The record is from RNAcentral.
UGGGGGAUAUUGCACAAUGGGCGAAAGCCUGAUGCAGCGACGCCGCGUGGGGGAUGAAGGCUUUCGGGUUGUAAACCUCUUUUGCUAUCGAACAAGGCCCGCUUAGGGUGGGUUGAGGGUAGGUGGAGAAGAAGCGCCGGCUAACUACGUGCCAGCAGCCGCGGUAAUACGUAGGGCGCGAGCGUUGUCCGGAAUUAUUGGGCGUAAAGGGCUUGUAGGCGGCUUGUUGCGCCUGCUGUGAAAACGCGGGGCUUAACUUCGCGCGUGCAGUGGGGACUGGCAGGGUUGAGUGUGGUAGGGGUGACUGGAAUUCCAGGUGUAGCGGUGGAAUGCGAAGAUAUCUGGAGGAACACCAAUGGCGAAGGCAGGUCACUGGGACAUUACUGACGCUGAGGAGCGAAAGCAUGGGUAGCGAACAGG